This is a non-coding RNA of Enterococcus rotai, 223 nucleotides long. NCBI's taxonomy places the organism in Bacteria, Bacillati, Bacillota, Bacilli, Lactobacillales, Enterococcaceae. The record is from Rfam.
CCAAAGACCAUGAUCAAGAGGAGUACUACUGGCAUCGUUAUAGAGAGAAAAUCACUUGGUGGAAGAUUUUCACAUAACCAGUAAGAAGGUAGCUUGGGAGUCAAUGAUUUGAAUUCAGUAGAAUGAUUCGAGUAGUGAUCGUUACCUCACGAAUGAAGCGGUGUUUGGAUUUUUCAAACACAAUUUAGGUGGUACCACGUAUAGUUGUUUAUACGCCCUAAAA